AAGCUAUUUAGGUGACACUAUAGAAUACUCAAGCUAUGCAUCCAACGCGUUGGGAGCUCUCCCAUAUGGUCGACCUGCAGGCGGCCGCGAAUUCACUAGUGAUUUCCGUAGGUGAACCUGCGGAAGGAUCAUUACUGAAAAACUAUUUUUUUAAGUUUUUUAUAUCCCAUUGUUUACUUACCCUGUUGCUUUCACUGGACAGAUUUCACCUUGUGUGGGUGGGUCCUUUGGCUUGUGUAAAAAUACCACCUGCCAAAGAGUUGCCAGUGGUAAGACCUACUUAUCAAAACUUUUUUAGUUUCAAUAAACACAAUUGUCUGAAUAUUUUUUGUUUUCUUUAAUGAAAUAAAAACUUUCAACAACGGAUCUCUAGGCUCUUGCAUCGAUGAAGAACGCAGUGAAAUGCGAUAAGUAAUGUGAAUUGCAGAAUCUCGUGAAUCAUUGAAUCUUUGAACGCACAUUGCGCCCUAUGGUAUUCCAUUGGGCAUGCCUGUCUGAGCGUCAGCUCCCCCUCUACUCAAGAAUCAUUUUUAUAUGAUACUUGGAUUACUUUGGAGAUGUAACUGUAUAUUAAGUUGCCCUCCAGAAAUUCAUUGGCAGUAUGGUUUGUACUUGGACCAGACGUAAUAGUAAUAAAAUCGUUUGUCUGGGUAUAAUUGAUUGUACUUGCCUUUAACCCCCACCCAUUUUUAUUUUGGGUGACCUCAGAUCAGGUAGGGAUACCCGCUGAACUUAAGCAUAUCAAUAAGCGGAGGAAAUCGAAUUCCCGCGGCCGCCAUGGCGGCCCGGGAGCAUGCGACGUCGGGCCCAAUUCGCCCUAUAGUGAGUCGUAUUACAAUUCACUGGCCGUCGUUUUACAACGUCGUGACUGGGAAAACCCUGGCGUUACCCAACUUAAUCGCCUUGCAGCACAUCCCCCUUUCGCCAGCUGGCGUAAUAGCGAAGAGGCCGCACCGAUCGCCCUUCCCAACAGUUGC
This 977-nucleotide unclassified non-coding RNA is filed under the name Terfezia boudieri. RNAcentral's name for it is "sequence contains ITS1, 5.8S rRNA gene and ITS2". The stretch from base 351 to 504 matches the Rfam family "5.8S ribosomal RNA". The record is from RNAcentral. Lineage: Eukaryota; Fungi; Ascomycota; Pezizomycetes; Pezizales; Pezizaceae.